UCUCCGUUGGUGAACCAGCGGAGGGAUCAUUACCGAGUUAUACAACUCAUCAACCCUGUGAACAUACCUAAACGUUGCUUCGGCGGGAACAGACGGCCCCGUAACACGGGCCGCCCCCGCCAGAGGACCCCCUAACUCUGUUUCUAUAAUGUUUCUUCUGAGUAAAACAAGCAAAUAAAUUAAAACUUUCAACAACGGAUCUCUUGGCUCUGGCAUCGAUGAAGAACGCAGCGAAAUGCGAUAAGUAAUGUGAAUUGCAGAAUUCAGUGAAUCAUCGAAUCUUUGAACGCACAUUGCGCCCGCCAGUAUUCUGGCGGGCAUGCCUGUUCGAGCGUCAUUACAACCCUCAGGCCCCCGGGCCUGGCGUUGGGGAUCGGCGGAGCCCCCCGCGGGCACACGCCGUCCCCCAAAUACAGUGGCGGUCCCGCCGCAGCUUCCAUUGCGUAGUAGCUAACACCUCGCAACUGGAGAGCGGCGCGGCCACGCCGUAAAACCCCCAACUUCUGAACGUUGACCUCGAAUCAGGUAGGAAUACCCGCUGAACUUAA
This 548-nucleotide ribosomal RNA is filed under the name Fusarium sp. NRRL 22354. RNAcentral describes it as "eukaryotic LSU rRNA". The stretch from base 184 to 337 matches the Rfam family "5.8S ribosomal RNA". Lineage: Eukaryota; Fungi; Ascomycota; Sordariomycetes; Hypocreales; Nectriaceae. The record is from RNAcentral.